RNAcentral lists this ribosomal RNA (723 nucleotides) under uncultured bacterium. Its description in RNAcentral is "bacterial SSU rRNA". It matches the Rfam family "Bacterial small subunit ribosomal RNA", at positions 72 to 827 of the family's 1533-position model. The record is from RNAcentral.
AAGGGUAGCAAUACCUGAGUACAGUGGCGCACGGGUGAGUAACACGUGAAUUAUCUACCUUCGAGUGGGGAAUAACUGGGAGAAAUCUCAGCUAAUACCGCAUAACACUUACGAGUCAAAGCAGCAAUGCGCUUGAAGAGGAGUUCGCGGCAGAUUAGUUAGUUGGCGGGGUAAUGGCCCACCAAGACGAUGAUCUGUAUCCGGCCUGAGAGGGCGCACGGACACACUGGAACUGAAACACGGUCCAGACUCCUACGGGAGGCAGCAGUGGGGAAUUUUGCGCAAUGGGGGAAACCCUGACGCAGCAACGCCGCGUGGAGGAUGAAAUCCCUUGGGAUGUAAACUCCUUUCGAUCGGGACGAUUAUGACGGUACCGGAAGAAGAAGCCCCGGCUAACUUCGUGCCAGCAGCCGCGGUAAUACGAGGGGGGCAAGCGUUGUUCGGAAUUAUUGGGCGUAAAGGGCGCGUAGGCGGUUUGACAAGUCUGAUGUGAAAUCUCUGGGCUCAACCCAGAGUCUGCAUUAGAAACUGUCGGGCUUGAGUAUGGGAGAGGUGAGUGGAAUUUCCGGUGUAGCGGUGAAAUGCGUAGAUAUCGGAAGGAACACCUGUGGCGAAAGCGGCUCACUGGACCAUAACUGACGCUGAGGCGCGAAAGCUAGGGGAGCAAACAGGAUUAGAUACCCUGGUAGUCCUAGCCCUAAACGAUGAUUGCUUGGUGUGGCA